This 90-nucleotide transfer RNA is filed under the name Rhizophagus sp. MUCL 43196. It matches the Rfam family "tRNA". Rfam says of the family: Transfer RNA (tRNA) molecules are approximately 80 nucleotides in length. The record is from Rfam by way of RNAcentral. Lineage: Eukaryota; Fungi; Glomeromycota; Glomeromycetes; Glomerales; Glomeraceae.
GCCCAGUUAGUUUAGUUGGUUAGAACACCACACCCAUUAUUCUUCAGAAUAAUUAACGUGGAAACGCGGGUUCAAUUCCUGCGCUGGGCU